AUAACCAAACUUACGUUUUCUCCUCCGUAUUCUUGAAUUCUUAAAAGGAUCCAGAAAAGAUGGCAACAGAAGCGACAGCAUAAGAGAAAAAAAAAGGAAGCACCCACGUGGCCGAUCCGAGCUCAGAUCCAGGCUAAUCUGAAGCUAAAUCCAGAUCGAUCCGAAGUCCAGAUCCAGACCGAUCCGAAGCUCAAAACUAGACC
This 203-nucleotide long non-coding RNA is filed under the name Elaeis guineensis (African oil palm). Its description in RNAcentral is "long non-coding RNA (EGUI_LNC010734)". Lineage: Eukaryota; Viridiplantae; Streptophyta; Magnoliopsida; Arecales; Arecaceae. The record is from RNAcentral.